RNAcentral lists this ribosomal RNA (476 nucleotides) under uncultured cyanobacterium. RNAcentral's name for it is "bacterial SSU rRNA". It matches the Rfam family "Bacterial small subunit ribosomal RNA", at positions 34 to 558 of the family's 1533-position model. The record is from RNAcentral. Lineage: Bacteria; Bacillati; Cyanobacteriota.
CGCUGGCGGUAUGUUACACAUGCAAGUCGAACGGAACCUUCGGGUUUAGUGGCGGACGGGUGAGUACGCGUGAGAUCUGCCUCUAGGUCGGGGACAACAACUGGAAACGGUUGCUAAUACCCGAUGUGCAGCAAUGUGAAAGAUUUAUUGCCUAGAGAUGAGCUCGCGUCUGAUUAGCUAGUAGGUGUGGUAAUGGCGCACCUAGGCGACGAUCAGUAACUGGUCUGAGAGGAUGACCAGUCACACUGGGACUGAGACACGGCCCAGACUCCUACGGGAGGCAGCAGUGGGGAAUUUUCCGCAAUGGGCGAAAGCCUGAUGGAGCAAUACCGCGUGAGGGACGAAGGCUUUUGGGUCGUAAACCUCUUUUCCCUGAGAAGAAGAUCUGACGGUAUCAGGGGAAUCAGCAUCGGCUAACUUCGUGCCAGCAGCCGCGGUAAUACGAGGGAUGCAAGCGUUAUUCCGGAAUUAUUGGG